Caenorhabditis elegans is the source of this 150-nucleotide non-coding RNA. NCBI's taxonomy places the organism in Eukaryota, Metazoa, Nematoda, Chromadorea, Rhabditida, Rhabditidae. The record is from Ensembl.
UAAUCACCUUUUUUCCUGUUAUUCUGCUGCUCGUUCUCCUCUUCUUCUUUGAUUCCGGCAGUCGUUUUUAUGAGACCAGCGGCGCUGAACAGAGCAACCGCCGGACUGAAUUGCUCGUUUCGGAACGCUUGCGAAAAAAUCAUAACUCAA